This 489-nucleotide ribosomal RNA is filed under the name uncultured bacterium. RNAcentral's name for it is "partial 16S ribosomal RNA". It matches the Rfam family "Bacterial small subunit ribosomal RNA", at positions 30 to 507 of the family's 1533-position model. The record is from RNAcentral.
AUUGAACGCUGGCGGCAGGCUUAACACAUGCAAGUCGAACGGUAGCAGGAGAAAGCUUGCUUUCUUGCUGACGAGUGGCGGACGGGUGAGUAAUGCUUGGGAAUCUGGCUUAUGGAGGGGGAUAACUACGGGAAACUGUAGCUAAUACCGCGUAAUAUCUUCGGAUUAAAGAAUGGGACUUUUAGCCAUUCGCCAUAAGAUGAGCCCGAGUGGGAUUAGGUAGUUGGUGGGGUAAAGGCCUACCAAGCCGACGAUCUCUAGCUGGUCUGAGAGGAUGACCAGCCACACUGGAACUGAGACACGGUCCAGACUCCUACGGGAGGCAGCAGUGGGGAAUAUUGCGCAAUGGGGGCAACCCUGACGCAGCCAUGCCGCGUGAAUGAAGAAGGCCUUCGGGUUGUAAAGUUCUUUCGGUGGUGAGGAAGGCUAAUAUGUUAAUAGCAUAUUAGAUUGACGUUAGCCACAGAAGAAGCACCGGCUAACUCCGUG